GUGUGGGAGCUGCUGCUCUGAGUAGGAGAGAUCUUGUGCGAAAGCUGACAUUCUAAAACAAACCCCCUUCCUGCAAAACAUUCUCACUGAAGUUGACAACAGUGGUAUUCUUUAUACAUUAACUUUGGCUCCAUUUCAGAGUAAAAUUCAUGAGCAAGAGUAACCAAUUAUUAAGGAAUAGGAAGACAAAGAAAUACGAUUCUGCAUUGUGCUGGGACUUAGUAAGAGUUGAACACACAUUAUUCACUGGAUAAAUAUGUGGAAGAAAGGAAGAGAGUAUUUAGCUCUGUUUUAAUUACUGUUAAUCUGCCGAGACUUUCCCAUUAGAAAUAUCACACUGGCAUUUUCUUGGGUACCAGCUGCAAGCCAAGCUCUUUAACAUUUGAUUUUGACGCACUUAUUCAUCCAAUUCCCUGCUUUCCUUCAUCUGUUCACUAGGCACCCAUGCAUUUUGGAAUAUAUUUCUGAUGAGACAAUCCCCCAAAAUUUCAGUUAAUUUCAGUUAGUUUCCCCUUUGUUCUCCUUUGCCCCCUGCCUCAAUCCCUAGGUCUCUCUCUCUCUCUCUCUCUCUCUCUCUCUCUCUCUCUCUCUGUGUGUGUGAAUAACUCUCAGUGAAUAUCUCUCUUUGAAGCACAUCAUGUUUCAGACAGGGAUAAUGGCCUUUGGUAUUCUGCUAGAACCACAUUAAAAACCACUGCGUUCCUCUGGCUAAGGAAGUUACAGUGAUGCUCUCUUCCACCUGACAGAGUGAUGAUAAUCUGGGGCUGUGCUGUUUACUAAACAAUCACUAUUCAUUGGGGUUUGUUAGACAUUUCAUUCCACGGCAAAAGGAAAAGGGAACUUUUGUCAAUAAUUAAGUUUCAACAUUGGCAGAGUGGGAUUCUUCAGGUGCCCACAUCUCAGGGGGGAGGAGGGGGCCUAAUGAAAGAGUCUCAUUCUUUCCAUGCUAUGUUUUGAGAAGGGAAUUAGCUCUCCAGAACACUCCCACAAGGCUAAUUUUUAACACAGGAAGCAUCCUUCAGUAGAAGUCAAAUCUCCCUAGGAUCCAGAGCUGAAAACAUUAUCAUUUCAAAAUUCUCUUUACAAGUUCUUUGUCUUCAGCUUCAUUAUUGUCUUGUGCCUGUACUUGACAGAAUUCUCACAGGCCUUGCAUUAUUUCAGAGAAACAUGAUGGCAAGAAAGUCCUUUGCUCCUUCUGCGACCUUGAACAGAAGGCUGUUCCAAGGGAAGCCAUUACAGGGCCAGUUUCCUAAUAUACUAAUAUCUCCAGUGUUCAGGAUGUGUGUGGUUUGUCUAUGUAGGCAGAAGGACACACACUCUUGUGCAUGAGGGAGCUAUCCGGAGGUUUGAUGGAACCACAAGUUUUGCAAAGGGACAAUAAAACUUGGGGGGGGGGGACUAAAGGGGGAUGGUAUACAAAUUUUUUUAAAAAAUGUUUAAACACAGCUAAUUUACAACCUUAGGGACGCGGGUGGCGCUGUGGGUUAAACCACAGAGCCUAGGACUUGCCGAUUGUCAGGUCGGCGGUUCGAAUCCCCGUGGCGGGGUGCGCUUCCGUUGCUCAGUCCCAGCGCCUGCCAACCUAGCAGUUCAAAAGCACCCCUGGGUGCAAGUAGAUAAAUAGGGACCGCUUACUAGCGGGAAGGUAAACGGCGUUUCCGUGUGCUGCGCUGGCUCGCCAGAUGCAGCUUGUCACGCUGGCCACGUGACCCGGAAGUGUCUUCGGACAGCGCUGGCCCCUGGCCUCUUAAGCGAGAUGGGCGCGCAACCCCAGAGUCGGACACGACUGGCCCGUAUGGGCAGGGGUACCUUUACCUUUACCUUUAAUUUACAACCAGGGACUGUUAGGCUGUGUGCACAUUAUACAUUUAAUUCUUUCCCUCAAAGAAUUAUGGGCAUUGCAGUUUGUUAAGGCUUGCUGGGGAUUACAACUGUGGGGGCUAAAGUACAGAGCCCAGAAUUCCUUGAGUAAAAGAAUGUGCUUUGAAGGUGCUUUUAAGGUAUAAUGUAUAAGCAGCCUUAGCUGGAAAUAGCUCAUACCAGUUAGCUCUUGUGUUCUUCAUUUGUGUUCUCCAAAAGCUAGAAAAAUAUCAGAUUUUGUAAUGGGUUUGCCAUGGCCUCCCAAACCUGAUAACUUGCACUGCCUCCAAGGGAAGCCCAGAUGAGGAAAAGAUUCACACUGCUCCACCCAGUGGAUAGACUUUCAGCAUCUCACAUUUUUCAAGCCUGAGGACAUGGAAAUUCUGCCUUCCUCAGACUCAGAGCCCUCAGUAGCAUCUCCUGCUUCUUUGCAGUUGCAGAACCAAAAAUAAACCCUUUUAAAAGAACAGACAGAUCCUCUAGGGCAGGCUUCCUCAAACUUGGCCGUCCAGAUGUUUUGAAACUACAGUUCCCAUCAUCCCUGACCACUGGUCCUGCUAGCUAGGGAUCAUGGGAGUUAUAGGCCAAAAACAUCUGGAGGGUUGAGUUUGAGGAAGCUCUAGGGAGACAGUGCCAGCAGCAUAACAGGCAGUAGCUUUAUGAUGCUUCAAUGCUUAGCUGAAGCAACAUUCUCAUGUUAUCUACAGUAGAGGGAGAGCUACAAGCAGCAGAGCUCACUGUGGAAAAAACCCAAACAAGAAUCCAAACAAGGGAGGCUAUUCCAUAACCACGGUGCCAACACUGAAAAGACCCUCUCUUUGGUAGCCACCCACCUUAAAGUGCUUCUAAAUCUGACUUUGUGGGAGAUUAGCAGUCCAACCCAACUAAAGUAGAUUCCUGCUAGUUAGCAUGAGAAAGUGCUAAGUCCACAGAACUCUAUUGGUGAUAGGCAGGUACACAGAACAUAGAAAUACAACUGGUAGAGUGGUCUCUGUGUGAUGUCAUUUCCCCUCCUUUCCUGGAGAAGAAGGAGCAUAUAGUACUUCCUGUUCCUCUCUUUCUUCCAGUGAUCAGCCAUGAGGGCAGCCGAGCCUUGUGCUUGUUCCAGCUUUAGGCACAUACUGUAAAUAUGAGUAUUUUGCCCACAUAGUUUUGACUAAUGCCAUCGCUGUGAACCAGCGCAAGAAUAUAAGCUGGCUGUAAUUACUUUGUGCGUAAGAGAGAAACAUGGUGGAAGAAAUCAGAAUGCGAGAAUGCCGUCCGGUGGUGUCAGAAAAAGGAAAGGAGGGAAACAAACACAAAGAUCCAUGGAAACAGAACAAUCAGUAAAGAUUUCAUGAAGGUGUCAGAAAAGGAGAUUCAGCUGGGUGGCUCGGAAACAAACUGUGAAGUGAAUAAAUUCAUGCAGGAAAGGGAAAGGGAAAGGAUCAUCUUUGCUAUAGUCUAUGAUUAUGUGCUGCCAAGACAUUUUGCUCAAUGUCUGGCCUUGAUGCUUUGUAAGUAACUGCUGCGUGUAUUCCUACAAUCUCUGGUGCGGUAUUGCAGUUGCUGGAUCAUUGAAAGUCAGGGGGAGAGCUGAGCUGCUAGCCUAAAAUCACAAUGAUAACGCUAACAGCCUAGGUAAUUGAGGUUAUUAUGGAUGCAUUAGACAUACAGACAAACAUACACAAUUAUACACAAUGCAAAGAUAAGCGUAUUCACAGCAGCCAGAGUCUUCUAGCUCCGUCAGGAGAGACGAGAGUUCCCACACCUCAAACACACACACACACAGCAGCAGCAGUGGCUUAGCACCAGGAUUCUCCAACCUGGUGCCCUCCAUAGGCCUUGGACUGCAGAUAUUCAUAUUGCACAGUUUGAAGCAAGUAGGUGCUAAAAAUCCUCAUGGAGUCCUCAUGGAGUAAAAAACAUUGUCCAGACCCAUGAAAAUAUUAUGCAAAGUUUGCAUGCAGAACUUUCUUUAAAAUAUAACCAAAAGGUAAAUGACACAUUCAA
Long non-coding RNA from Podarcis raffonei (Aeolian wall lizard), 3852 nucleotides. RefSeq lists it as uncharacterized. NCBI's taxonomy places the organism in Eukaryota, Metazoa, Chordata, Lepidosauria, Squamata, Lacertidae. The transcript has 3 exons. The record is from RefSeq and is a predicted model, not a curated record.